GUGCAUCUGCUUGACAGACUUGGAGCAAAUGGCCAUUGCUUCUUGAGUUCUUGCUGAGAUGCAACAGUAACAGGUUCCUUGCGCUUUCUACCUGUCUGACCUUGUAGCAGUCUGGAUUGAAUAAAGGAACACAAAC
Molecule: small nucleolar RNA, 136 nt
Organism: Pogoniulus pusillus (Red-fronted tinkerbird)
Lineage: Eukaryota; Metazoa; Chordata; Aves; Piciformes; Lybiidae
Product: small nucleolar RNA SNORA31
Exons: 1
Source: RefSeq, a predicted model, not a curated record